RNAcentral lists this ribosomal RNA (440 nucleotides) under uncultured bacterium. Its description in RNAcentral is "bacterial SSU rRNA". It matches the Rfam family "Bacterial small subunit ribosomal RNA", at positions 338 to 795 of the family's 1533-position model. The record is from RNAcentral.
CCUACGGGCGGCAGCAGUGGGGAAUAUUGCACAAUGGGGGAAACCCUGAUGCAGCCAUGCCGCGUGUGUGAAGAAGGCCUUAGGGUUGUAAAGCUCUUUCACCGGUGAAGAUAAUGACGGUAACCGGAGAAGAAGCCCCGGCUAACUUCGUGCCAGCAGCCGCGGUAAUACGAAGGGGGCUAGCGUUGUUCGGAAUUACUGGGCGUAAAGCGCGCGUAGGCGGAUAGAUAAGUCAGAGGUGAAAUCCCGGGGCUCAACCCCGGAAUUGCCUUUGAUACUGUUUAUCUUGAGUGCAGAAGAGGUAAGUGGAAUUCCGAGUGUAGAGGUGAAAUUCGUAGAUAUUCGGAGGAACACCAGUGGCGAAGGCGGCUUACUGGUCUGCAACUGACGCUGAGGCGCGAAAGCGUGGGGAGCAAACAGGAUUAGAUACCCUCGUAGUC